Long non-coding RNA from Tripterygium wilfordii, 467 nucleotides. RefSeq lists it as uncharacterized. The record is from RefSeq and is a predicted model, not a curated record. The transcript has 2 exons. Lineage: Eukaryota; Viridiplantae; Streptophyta; Magnoliopsida; Celastrales; Celastraceae.
AAAAAGAAAAAGAGAAAGGCCAAGGGAGAAAAGGGGCAUUAGAGAGAAAGGAGUGGUUUCUUGGUGAGGAAAAUGGAGGAAAAGAAAUAAACAGAGAGUAAGAAACAAGGGGAAAUUGAGAGAAAAAAUAAAGAAAAAUUGAGGAGAUAUAGGAGAGCUGAAUCUUGCGCCGCACAAGUGAAGACACCGUGAAAGAGGAAAGCAAAACCAAGAAAUAGAGAGUAAAGGGACAAGGAAAUAGACAGCAAAACCAGGAGAGAACGAAUCGGGAGAAAAGAAUAGGAAAGCAAAAUCGGGAGAGAGCUUAUUUGGAUAUUGGAUUGGGUUUGAACAACAUACAGGCUCAAUGGGCCAUAUUUAUAUUUUUGUUUAUUUUGUAUAUAUUUUUAUCUUGUUUUUAUUUGGUAUAUAUAUCCUUGUAAAUGUAAAUAUGUAAUAGGGUAGUGGAAAUAAUGAAAAGUAGUGUA